UCUGAACCCUCGUAACAGUACAAGUGUUACAUCAAACAUUGCAAGGCGCUUCACAGGAACAUUCCUAAUUAAAGAGUGACAUUGAAGCACAUGGAGAUAUCAGGACUGGUGACCAAAUGCUUGGUCAAAGAGAACAUUCCUUUCUAACUGGGUGAACAAUCCCGCUGGUUUGAAAAGCUGCAGAAUUGUGAAGAAGUUGGAUCAAAGGAGGGCAGCAGAGCAGAAACUGAAAGAAAAGAAAAUCAGAGAAAAAUAUCAAAGAUUGGGAUUGAGUGCAAGGAAGAAAAUGAGUAACCAAGUUCAGAUAAUGCAAUGAAGCCGGAAGCUGAGAGAACAGCACAAGGGUACAUCAACAAAAUACCCUCUCUGUAUUCCGAUCUGCAAAACAAGGCUUCACACGUUGAGAAGGGGCACUCCCACGUCUGGGAACAAGAGUUUGGUUGUAAAUUAAACGUGGUCAAAAAGGGAAAAGGAGGAUUUGAACCAUGUCACUACCACAUUCCUUCUCUGUGUCUGUCAUGGCUUUCCACCGGCACAUCGCCCACUCCAGGCUGGGAUUAUUUGUCUUUGCAACACUCACCUGCUUUCAGCUGUCUGCAACCUUACAAAGCUGUGGUAGGAAGCAGAAUAAUUUCAGCAGCAUCCCUGAAGCUCAGUACAGCAGCAACCCCUGCCCAACUUCUGGGGUGAUAUUGGUUCUUUACCACAUGGUGCACAUCUUUCUUGACAUGGUCCAACCAAAUCCCUUCCCAACAGAUAUAAUCAAGAUACUUGUACAAAACACUACAGAAAUACAGCACAACUAUAUAAAGGUGUUGAAGUAUGAGGUUGGCUUCAUCGUGUGUGCUGCCAUUGGAAUUCUCUUCUUCCUCCUCAUGCCCUUGGUUGGGGUUUGCUUCUGUUGCUGUCGGUGUUGUGGGAACUGUGGAGGGAAGAUGUACCAGAAGCAGACUGAAUCAAUGAACUGCAAGAGGAGGACACUGGCCACCAUCUUGUUACUGGUCACAACAGUGAUUCUAGCGGGAAGUGUCUGCAUGUUCGUCAGCAAUGAGAAGGUGACAGAAUCCUUCCAGGCUAGUGGCAACUCACUGGAAAACACCUUAGGCAAUCUGAAAACUUACCUUGACACCAUCCCAAAACAAAUCAGAGCUGUCACUGAUGCCAGUACAAUCCCAGUACACAACAUCACAGCUAACCUGGACAAUAUGGGUUCAAGUCUUGGUGAAGCAGUCAGGGAGAAGCUGGGUGAAGCAAUAUACCCUGCACUGAAUUCGGCAUCUCAGCUGGCACAAGAUAUCCACCAGAUGAGUGACAGACUGGUGCUCAUAAACUCAACAGCAGGAAGGCUGCUACAUCAACAGGAGGUCCUCGAGCAGAAUCUGACUGCCAUCCGUCAAGAGAUCAACAGCACACUCAACCAGUGCGGUUCACAAUGUAGCAACAGCCUGGGCCUCGUCAAGGGCCUUGACCUUCUUGUCAACUUUAGCAUGGUUCCCAGUAUGGACAAGGAGAUAGAGGCCAUGAAGCUGUUAGUGAACGCUAACCUCUAUUCCAUCGUACAAAAGGGUUAUAAAGUUUUCAAUGACACACCCGCACUGCUUGUCAACCAGUCAGCCAGCACUGUGUCAGAAAUGAAGAAGAGCACAAUGGAUAUUGAAAAGCAGAUACAACAUAUCACGCAAGAGUUUCCGAUAUUAACCGCACUAACGUCAGUCAAUUCUGAACUAAAUAAGAUUAAUAGCUCAAUAAAUAAAUAUCUCCCAGAGGUCCAGAAGGGAGAUAAAUAUAGGUGGUUUGUUGGGAUUGUGCUGUCCAGUAUAAUUCUCCUGAUUGUUCUGUGUAAUUAUCUGGGUCUCUUGCUGGGAACAAUGUACCUCAAACCCAAUGUGAAUCCCAUCGAAAGAAGCUCGGCGUCCACCUGUGGAGGGAAUCUCUUCAUGGCGGGAGUCGGCUUCAGUUUCAUCUUCUCAUGGCUCUUGAUGCUCCUCGUCUUUAUCAUGUUUUUUGUGGGUGGAAAUAUAUAUUCACUGGCUUGCAAACCUUGGUACAAUGAUGAACUUUUUCAGGUAAUUGAAACCUCCGGGCUGAUUGCUGACUUAAACCUGUCACAGUCCCUGGGAUUGAAGAAUACCAAGCUGAGCAUCAACAGUGCUUAUAAAAGCUGCAUGAACAACACAUCUGUAUGGAAGGCCCUGGACCUGGCCCAGGACUUCAACCUGGACGAGUAUUUGAACCUGAGUAAGUAUACAGGGGACAUUUCAAGUAAAUUUGAUAAGAUCAACGUCAGCUUAUCGGGGAUUACAUUACUGGAUGACAAGGGCAAGAAGAUCAUGAAAGACUUCCUGAACACUGGUAUCGAUGAUCUAAACUUUACCAGCAUCUCUGAGCAGCUGGGUAAGCCAUUAGUUCAGACGGAACUGCACAUCACUGCUGAGAAACUGCAAAAUCUCUCAAAGAUGGUGCCAGACCCAUUCAAAACUGCACUAAAUAAAGAGGCAGCCAGCCUGAAGAAAUUGAACAACUGGGCCCAGAGUAACAUGGUGCCAAAUAUGGAAAGUUUGAAAGAAAACAUUCAGGAUCUUCAGGCAAACACAUCACAACUUGAGGUAAUCGUAAACAAUACUUUAUCAAAGAUAGAUUCUGCACAGACUUUGCUCCGCACAAAAUCUUCAGACAUUAUUAAAAAUGAAUCCAAGAUUUUUCUGGAUUGUCAGCUCGAUUAUUUCAGUUCCUAUGUCAGUUGGACCAAGAUAAUGAUUACGGAGAAUCUAGCUCGGUGCAAACCGGUGGCGGAUGUCCUGAAUUCUACUGCAACAAUCGCUUGUUCUUAUAUUUUGGACUCAUUGAAUGCUUUCUGCUUCAGCCUGGGCUGGAGCACUAUAUUCUUGAUUCCAAGCAUCAUAUUUGCAGUGAAGCUGGCCAAAUUCUAUCGACGCAUGACAACUGCAGAUGUGUACGAUGGGAAAACAUUUUCAAAGCAUUAAGAUCCUGCCCUAUGAGUCUUAGUUCUAGACUCUCGAGCCAGGUGAAGCAGCUUGUCAGCAUCUACCCUGCAAGGUAUGGGAUAUGGCAGCCAAUUCUGGCACAGCAAGCUCCUAUAAACAGCAAUGAGGUAGUGGCUGUGGGAUCUUCUACGUCACCUGAGGGCAGACAGAGCGUUGGUUGAAUGUCUCUUUUGAAAGACGGCACGUCCGACAGUGCAGCACUCCCUCAGCACUGCAGUGCAAAUGUCAGGAAUGAUGACCCUCAGUUGGAAAUGAGAACUCUGCAUAAAUAACUCAGCCUUUCUGAAGCCAGAAAUGGGGAUUUUAACAAGAUACUGAAGAUUGCAACUCUCAUUGACUGCCCUACGUGGGCAAUAAUGAACAAACCAACAACAUUAGUGGAGCUUCCUCUUGAGUUCAGUGUUGCCAAAGUGCAGAGAGUUGAAAUUAGAGCAUUUGUAAUUUGAAUGAAGCUUUGUACAGCAUGUUUUGUUGCUGUGCCAAUCUUUCCCGGAACUCCAUGUUUGAAUUCCUGCCCCUACCACAAUACUGAAACAACUCUUAUCAACAUCACAAAUGACAUCCUGUGUAACUGUGACAAAAGUAAACUUUCCCUCCUCGA
Carcharodon carcharias (great white shark) is the source of this 3606-nucleotide RNA transcript. It is a transcript of the gene named prominin 2, with no coding region annotated. The record is from RefSeq and is a predicted model, not a curated record. The transcript has 28 exons. Lineage: Eukaryota; Metazoa; Chordata; Chondrichthyes; Lamniformes; Lamnidae.